CUCACAACCGCCACUCGACUGCCAGGGAGGCGGCGACAGGAACCGGAACUACUCACCAGGGACCGGCCCUCAACCCUCCUCUUUUCGAUGGGCACCGCCCCGCGUCCCUAACCACCCAAUGGUGGAAUGAGCUGAUCACAAUAAACAAUCUUGAAUCAUAUUCCUGCCUGCUGGAGGAUGGUGCCAGAGUCUCAGGGUUCGGGCGAGCUUUGAUCAGUGGUUUGUGGAUUGAUUCUGUAGUUCAUGUUGCUAUUUUGUCCAAUUUUGAUUGAGGCGGACUGGCUCUGCAAACUGCAGUCAACCAAUGACACAGCACAAAAUUGAACUGAACUAAACAUUCCUAGACCAUUUUAAGGACUCGGUGGUUUGAUGAUUGUAGUUUGAUGUUUUUGAAUUAUUUUUUUUCCAUUUGCACGAUUUGUUCCUUAUUUGGACAUUAGGUGUUUUUGUUGAAUGUGUUCCAUAGCGUUUCUCUGUUUUGUGGCUGUCUGUGGGAAGAUGAAUCUCAGAGUUGUGUACUGCAUAUGUACUUUGAUAAUAAAUGUACUUUGAGUAAAGAUCAGGUAAAAUCAAAGCUGAGUUUAUUGACAUAUGCACUGGUACAAGUGUAUCACUCUCUGUGCCCCUUCCUUGUCCACUCAACCCUCCCCACUGAUCUCCCUUUUGGCACCUAUCCAUGUCGGCUGGCUGGCUGCAUCAACGCUCAAACCUCACAGGGUCUUACUUCCUCCAGAACAGCUGCGGCAAGACAAGUUCUACGCCUGCCCCUACAUCUCCUCCCUCAACACCAUUCAGGGCCCCAGCACAGUCCCUCCAGCUGAGGCGACACCUGUGAGUCUGUUGGGGUCAUCUAUUGUAUCUGUUUUCCUCUUCACUAUCUCCUCUCUUUCACCUCCCCGGACCUCAGAAUCCUCCCAUCACUCGCCCUGGUGCCCCUCCCUCAUGGCCCACUGUUCUCUCCUAUCAGAUUUCUUUUCAUUACCCACCUAUCACCUAUCUUCUUCUCUUACUCCCUCCUCUCCAGUCCUGAUGAAGGACAAAACACCGACUUUUAUUCCUCUCCACUGAUGCUGCCUGACCUGCUGAGUCUCUCCAGCAUUUUGUGUGUGUUGCUCUGGAUUUCCAGCAUCUGCAGAAUCUCUUGUGCCUUCUGUCUGAAUGGUGAGACACCCUGCCGGCCUCAGUAUCUUCUGUUGUGCACUGUGCAGACUUGGUCAAUGAAAAUAUUAAAAGAUUAGCUUGUACAUCGAUGGAUCGGAGCACCGACCGACACGGUCUGAGGAUGUACAAGCAUCGCUAUGCGCCUGGCGUGUCCACGAGUUACUAACCCUAACCAGUACCUGUUCAGAAUGUGGGUGGAAACCGCAGUACUGGAUGAAACCCACGUGGUUAUGAGGAGAGUGUACAACUCGUUAUAGACUGAGGCGGAAUUGAAUACUGGUUGUUGUCCCUGCAAGUAGCGUAGUGCAAUUCCUCUGUGCUGGCACGGGUCCGGGGGGACAAGCCUUGACCGCGCCAGUGUCUCCUCGGAGAAAGGGUCUGAGUGUGGUCCGUGUCUCCCCGGACAGCGGGACUGGGCACUAGGCCGCCUGCUAUGGGGGAAACCCUGAGAUACACGGAGCAGUUCACAGGCAGGUCGCUACUGGCGGGAGUUAACUUCAGAACAUCACUCCACGUCACUGUGACCCUUCGGCUUAUGUACCCCGCUUUCACGACACGGCUCGCUGACAGGCAGGCGAUGGGCGUGGACGUACUUAAGUGUUUCCCCUGGUACAACAGGCGCAGGGAGCGCGGCAAGUUGGCCAAGAGGCAGAGGCCGGAAGGUCCUGUAUCCCCACUGGAGUCAGUGCACCCGAUCAAGCCAGGGGCUGGCGGCCGCAAUCUUGGUUACGGUGCUUACUUCAGCGAGAAAGCAAGAGUUUCCUUCCGACACGAGCUGGACUCGCCCACCUCGGCCAUAAAC
RNA transcript from Hypanus sabinus (Atlantic stingray), 1963 nucleotides. RefSeq lists it as uncharacterized. NCBI's taxonomy places the organism in Eukaryota, Metazoa, Chordata, Chondrichthyes, Myliobatiformes, Dasyatidae. The record is from RefSeq and is a predicted model, not a curated record. The transcript is spliced from 4 exons.